Molecule: long non-coding RNA, 914 nt
Organism: Oenanthe melanoleuca
Lineage: Eukaryota; Metazoa; Chordata; Aves; Passeriformes; Muscicapidae
Exons: 3
Source: RefSeq, a predicted model, not a curated record
GAUCCGCCCGAGCAGGCUGCACGGCGGCGGCGCUCCGAGGGUCCCGGCGCUGGGACUGGCGCCUCUGGGGCCGCGGUGGGCGCUGCUGGGACGGAAGGAUGGGCUCUCUGGGAGCCGUGCCCAGGGGCUGUGUGUGUCCCCGCUCCGGCGGGGCCGAUCCCCGCAGGUGUGCGGGCCCUGCUCCCGGGGGCCGGCAACACAGGGACGGACAGAGGGAAUCCCCCCGGCUGGCGUGUCCCUGUUCUUGCCCUUGCUCCACUCUGUUUCCCUGGCUUGUUGUCUUCAAACACACGUGUGCUUUUCUUUAAGGAAAAUAAAUCAGCAACUACCCUGGGACACAGCACUUGGGGUGUUCAUCCAGGAAGGGGCUGCUCGGGUCCUAAAAAAGAGGAGUUGGCUGGUCCCUGGGAAGCGUGGGACAAGGACCGAAGGACACAUUCUUGUCAGCCUGGCAGAGAAGCAGCAAAUUGUGCUGGAAGAAUAUCGACCAGUGCCUGUGCGAUGGUGAUCUACAGUUUUACAAUGAAGCUGGAAAUGAAAUAGUGUUAUUUUGAAGGAAACCCUCAGGUGGAACGCACGAGAGAGAUUAUAUGCUUUUCUAGCAUCUUAAUGAAAAUAAAUUAAUAAAAAUGGGAACGAAAGACUUAUUUUUUAGGUUUUUUUUUUUUUUUUUUCGGUGGGGAGGCGUGGCGUCCUCUAAGGGGCCUAAACCUUACUUUUAGAGAGUUACUUUGUCAGUGUGGGUUGUGAGCACAGGUGCUGCCUCAUUCUCCUAUUGCCGCAACUCAGGUACAAACCUGCUGCAAGCUGCGAGUUUAGGCACUAACUUUUUAAGAAAAAUAAAUUUUUCCGAGUGCGAAGAGCAACCCCGUAGAAGCAUGGACUCCCAGAAUGGGGCUGGGAGGGUCCCCGUC